Molecule: ribosomal RNA, 623 nt
Filed under: Reyranella sp.
Lineage: Bacteria; Pseudomonadati; Pseudomonadota; Alphaproteobacteria; Hyphomicrobiales; Reyranellaceae
Description: bacterial SSU rRNA
Rfam family: Bacterial small subunit ribosomal RNA
Source: RNAcentral
AAUACACGAGUGGCGCACGGGUGAGUAACACGUGGAUAUCUGCCUUUUGGUUCGGGAUAACCCUGGGAAACUAGGGCUAAUACCGAAUGGUUCCUACGGGAUAAAGAUUUAUCGCCAAAAGAUGAGUCCGCGUCCGAUUAGCUAGUUGGUGAGGUAAUGGCUCACCAAGGCGACGAUCGGUAGCUGGUCUGAGAGGACGAUCAGCCACACUGGGACUGAGACACGGCCCAGACUCCUACGGGAGGCAGCAGUGGGGAAUAUUGGACAAUGGGGGCAACCCUGAUCCAGCCAUGCCGCGUGAGUGAUGAAGGCCUUCGGGUUGUAAAGCUCUUUUGGCGGGGACGAUGAUGACGGUACCCGCAGAAUAAGCCCCGGCUAACUUCGUGCCAGCAGCCGCGGUAAGACGAAGGGGGCUAGCGUUGUUCGGAAUUACUGGGCGUAAAGCGCGUGUAGGCGGUUAUUCAAGUCAGGUGUGAAAGCCUUGAGCUUAACUCAAGAAAUGCACUUGAUACUGGAUGACUAGAGGACCGGAGAGGAUAGUGGAAUUCCCAGUGUAGUGGUGAAAUACGUAGAGAUUGGGAAGAACACCAGUGGCGAAGGCGGCUAUCUGGACGGUUCUGACG